Cervus elaphus (red deer) is the source of this 1029-nucleotide long non-coding RNA. RefSeq lists it as uncharacterized. The record is from RefSeq and is a predicted model, not a curated record. Lineage: Eukaryota; Metazoa; Chordata; Mammalia; Artiodactyla; Cervidae. The transcript is spliced from 2 exons.
GCUCCUGCCGCUUCCUCUGCUGCUCCUCCCGGUGCCGCCGGGCUGCCUUCUGCUCCUUUCUCCGAGUGGCCUGCCGUGCCUCCAUUUCUGCUGUUAGCGGCCCCGGCACCUGGAGGAUUUCCAGGUAAGCAUAAGCUGACCUGAGCUUUGCUGUAAUCGUAAGCAUCUGGAUUCUUCUCCAUGAACCUCCGGAACUCAUUGCGUGUUGAUCUGUCAGCUGCAACUGUAUACGGUGGCCGAGCUCGGGAAUCCCUAGGUGCGAAAACCCCCAAAGCAGGUUCCGUUUGCCUGCUGCACCUCCCAAUGUUGCCCAAGCAGACCAAGGGAAAUAUUGUCAAGUAGGCAAGGCCAAGGUUAGCAUCCAGAUCAUCCUCUGUACCCUAGCAGGGAUCGGCAUGAGGACCUCACUUACUGCACAGUGGGGUCCGCACCUGCCUCCAGCAGCAGGCGAACCACUGAGCCUCUCCCAGCUGCGGCUGCUGCGUGCAGGAGAGUGAAGCCACCGGAGCCCAAGGGGGCAGUGAGCAGAGGCAGAACUCCAGGGUCUAGGGGGCUGGCAGUGAGCCGGUCCUUCAGCAUCCCCACAUCUCCAGCUCGGCAAGCAGCUAGAAGCACAUCCCAGAGCUCCAACUGACCGGGGGACAUGGCCUCAUCCCAGGGAAGCCCCAAAUGGGCUGACCCUGAAAGGGCCUCAUCUUCCUUUGGUUGCUGGGAAAGAGUCAUUUGUACCCCAGACUCCAGGUCUUGCUUUCUCUCCCUCUUAUUCCUUUUUCUCCUCCUUUGCUUGGGAAAUACCUCAAACUCACGAAGAUCCAGCGUUCCCAGUGUCACCUCUACUAGCUCCAGCUCUACCUGGGAGCCAUCCUCUCCCUCUGACUCUAAUCCUAGGGGAAAAAAGUUGCUAUGUUAGAUCCAUCUAAGGAAUAAGCAGAGGGUAGAAGGGUGUGGGCUACCCCAGAUGCCUAAGAAUGUACAUAGCGAGAUAAUCCAGAUCACUUGAAAUAAAAUUGUUUGUAUUUUGUCACCCAA